Equus caballus (horse) is the source of this 9623-nucleotide non-coding RNA. The record is from RefSeq and is a predicted model, not a curated record. NCBI's taxonomy places the organism in Eukaryota, Metazoa, Chordata, Mammalia, Perissodactyla, Equidae.
CCCUCCCCCCUCCGCCCCCCAGAAAUGUUGCAAACUUUUGCAGCCCGUUCUCGGGUUGCAGGAGGAGAGGGGGGCGGGGGAGGCGGCAGGAGGGUUGACAGCCGGCGGGCUCACCCCCUGGCUUUGAUUUUUCUGCAAAGAGAGGAGGAAAGCAGCGUUGCCGAAAUUAAAUACGCUCCCCCAAAAUUCGGAGAACCGGAGAGUGGGGGCCCGGGAAAGAAACUUUUAAAGCGGCAGCGUCCUUUUAAGAAGGAAAAGAAAUCUGUUUAUGGCCACCCUCCUCCCCCUUUACCUUUUCUCCUCUUGACAGUUUCGGCCCCGGCUGCCCGAGUCGGGGGUGUGUUUUCGGCCCCCUCAGAGCUGAGGGGAGCGAGAGGAGUGAGCGAUCUGGGAAGCCCCGGGGGGUGGAGAGGGGGCGCUCCUGGAUCUGGGGGCGACGUGGGCACCUUCUCUGGAGCACUGUGCUGGGUUUGGGAUACGGGGAAAGAUCUGGAGGAAGAGGGGUGCGGGCGUGCGUGGUGCUCGCCAAGUUAGGUGGCGGGCGCGGCGAGGGGAGGUGGGCAAGUUGGUGGACCCGGGGUUCGCAGCCCCGCGCCCAGGCUGGCGGGGGGCGUGUGCGCGCCAGCGCGCCGAGGCCGGCGGUCCGGUGGGGCGCUCCCCGCGCAUUCGGAGCGGGCGUCUACAAAAGCAAACAAGCAGAAAGAGAGAGAUCGCAAGGCACCCAAACUUAUUUCUGCCCUGAGAAUCCUUCCCUCCCUGAGGUUCCAAGCGUUUCUGCGAGAACCUGGGAAUGGUCAGUGCGAGUUGAAUGCUGGUUGGAUAGUGCAAGCGAUGUUCCCCCCUCCCCGAGCGAUUUUUACACUUCAUUUUAGAGUGUGUUGCCGGGCGGGGGGGGGGGGGGAGCGGGGGUAGUUGGGGAGAUCCGUCGCCCCCUCCUUGCUUUUUCCUAGUUAAGGUGGAGUAUUGGAGAAAGCUCACUCUCUCCCUCUUUUUAAAGGUGUCGGAACCUGGUGUUGGGUUUUUCUUGGGGGUGGGGAUUGUUUAUUUGAAUGCGCCUGGAGUUUGCAAAGAACAGGAGGAAGCUACGGCUUUAAUUACUGUUGUAAAUAAUGUAUAAAUCACGCCUGUCACUCCGGAGGAAGCGGGCUCGCGCGAGCCGCCCAGGGCUGGGGACAGAGAGGAUCUCCAAUCCGAGCUUGGGCGCUAGUCCAGCGUGCCCCCUCCUCUUGCUACUCGGCUUCUGGCGGCGUUGGGGAGGGCUGGGGAGAGGCGAGUUGGGGCCCCGGGAGCCGCUCCCUUCCUCUGGUUAUAGUUGGAGGUAGGAAUAUGGCUGAUCAUGUGCUGGCUGUUUUACAGUAUUCCCCCCGUACCCCCCCCCCACCCUUAGCCACACCCCCUGUCCGGGCGCUUUCCCAUUCACGGAAUUCGAGUACAGUAAAAGCAAUCAGGAUGACACACUCGAAAAACAUUUAAUUAAAGGCGAUUUCCGAAGAGCGAACACACCGAACCGCGGUUUGAGCGGGAGGGGGUGCAGCGAAGGCCGGGAGUGAAGGGAGGGGGAUAGGGACCGGGGGCCGGGACCUGCCGCUAGCUUGGGGAGUUUGUGUGUGGAGAGCUUUUGGCUGCAAAGAGUAUAUUUAGACCCUGAGACGGUGGAUUUGGAAUGCGAGCGGGUUAUGUAACAGGGUUAAUCAGAAACACUGGAGAAAAUCCCCUUCAUGUGUUUCUGAAGGUUUUUUUUUUUUUGGAAGAGGGGACACAGUAUAUAGGAAGCCAUACUAAUUUCUGGUUUGUGCUGCCACCCCCCUCUUUCUUAACGCCCCCCCCCCCCCCCCCGCCCCGUGUUAUUAGCAUCUUCAGGUGUCAUUCUUGCCAGAAGGUGUUGUAAGUGAUUGGGUUGGCAGGCUGCAGAACCCACUAGCAAAUCCGUAACUUGCUGUUCUUGCAAAUUAUAUAACGCUGGGGCAUUCAGUACCACCAGCCCCCUAGGCUCAGCAAAAAGGGGAGAGGGACAAAGUGGGGGUGGGAUGCAUCUUGCACAGCUGACCUGCUGACCCAUAUCCCCUUGCCCCCUGGAGGCCCACCCCCCACUCACUCUUUUUUGAACCAACCCCGUGUCAUCCCUCCGGAGAUUUAAUGGGGGAGGGAGACGAGGUAAGGCCCAGACACUCAACUCACAUCCUGCACGCAGGCACUAGGUUAUAUAACAGUCUGAGUGGAAAAAGGAAGGUCAGAGAUGGAAGCAUCCUUUAGCUAACACAGCAGUAGUAAUAGCUUCCAGAAAUUAUGUGCAUUUGCAGACUUUAACCUCAGAUGUAGCAUCUCUCCUCAGGGGUACCAAUCUUUGUGUGUGUGAGCUAGGGAGAAAAAGAGAAUGUGUAAGUAUGCCCAGUAGAUGAGAGUGAUUUGAAAAUGGGAAAUGUUUGGGUUUUCAGAUGAUGUAAUGGAGUUGGCAGAAUAUGCAAGUCGGCUCCCAGAGUGUAAGCAGCAAGAAAAUUGGAGCUGGCAUCCAGUAUUAAUGUUGCAUAAAUUACAAUAUCGGAAAGAAAUUAACCUACACACUAGGUGAUUACACCUUUUUAAUACUUAAACAUAAAGGCACACAACUCCAAAGGAAAAGCAAAUAUCAUCACUUUAUAAUUAGCAUUCUCAACCUCUAGGAGGGUUGAGUGGAGUUCUUGGCAGAGGGUGAAGUGGGAAGCUUUCUGAUUUGGGAGAUGCUUUCCAGAGAGGUAGUGGGGUUAGCUUUCAGCCAGCCAGCGUUUGCAGUGCACAGAGAUUGUGGUCUGGAUUCUCAUGACAUUGAGGUGACCUCAUGAGACAUCUCCUAGGUAGACUUGAAGCUGUUGCUGAAUUCCGAACUCCUGGGAAGCCACAUGUCAAAGGACUGUCCGUUUAGUGCCUGAGCUUCCAGAAUCAGAUGUGUGACUUUAUAAUCUGAAAGACAACCUCCCCUUCUGCUUAAAACUGGGCAGGCAAUGUUAACAGUUUUAAUGAAACUGUUCCGUUUUCUAGGUGGUAUUGAUGGCUGGUGUCAUUCAGUCUCAUCUUCGCAGCACAAUGAAAGGGAAAAAAGAAAGGCAAGAGGCAACGUGGGAAGUAAGAAUGAAGCGGAAAAAACCACAGCAAAUCUUUAAUUUAACAAGGCUUUUGAGGACUUUAGGGAGCCAUGAGCAUUGUGACAUAACUGUUGUUAAAAACCCUUUUCCAGAAUCUCGUUAUUAUAUGCAUGCCAGAAGCUUACAUAUUUUCCUUCACUCAAGUUAUCCUUACAGGGCUGUGUGCCACGCGCUUGGUUUGGAACACCAGUGUGGAAGGUAGAAGGCUUUUAGGGCAGGCUGACCUAAAGGAAAAAUCGAAACCAAAAGAUGAUGGGAUUAACACUGAAAAGCUCAGUUGGGUUGAGAUGGAACCCCCUGGAAGCUCAGCUUAGAUUGACUUAAAAUCAGUUAACAAGGCCUGUGGUUUAUUUGUAACCCUGAGGACUUCGAGACCCACAUAAGUCUUUGGCUUGGAAAGUGCUUCGCCUUCAUUCCCCCCUUCAGUCUUGGCUCAUUCACUUUCUGGUGGCUGCUCUUGCCUGGCAAUUUAUAGCGCUUUCUAGAGACUGAUUCUCAGAUCAGCUUUGCUUACACGGACAUGGCCCUCCACACUGAACAAAUGAUGCCCCAUAGUUUGAAAGAGCUACUGGCUAGGAUAAAGUCCUUUGCCAGAGGGAUGGAAUAAUUAUUUUUUAAACGAAGGGACUUUAUAAUUUUCCGGUAAAUUGCUCAUAAAAACAUUUAUAAUUAUACCCUUUAUAAAAAUGUAAUAGAAUCAUUUUAGAAAAUGCAUUUGAUAAUAGUUAUGAUAACCUUUUUUGUUGCUUCCCCUUUAUUCUUAAAAAGAAUUGAAUUAUUAAUCCAGAAGUCAAAUCUUGAGUGGCUAAAAACAUUUAUAGCAGCCUCUUUUUAUGUUAGUCACCUGCUGGAAUUUUCCAAAACUUACUGGCAUUAUGAGGAGCCCUUGGCUUUAGAAAAUGUAUUUCUGAAACUGAAAUAUGGAGCCGGCGUGGAAGCCCCCUAACCAUGAGACCUUUAAGUUGUGUUUUCAAGGCAGCAGAGGUGGCGGGUACAGCACACACUGCUGGCUCCACACCAGACUCCUAAGUGGGAUGCACGGAGGUGCAAGAGUGUGCAUUGCAAUAGUUGUGCCUCUGGAUGGAAAUGUUCUGAGGAUUUUUGGUAGCAAACUGACUCCUGUCUGGAGCUGACCUUUGGAAUGCCAGUGAGACAAGCCCACCGAGUCUUCUCCUUGAGCCACCCUCUUGUCACUUGAGUUAAGAGCAUGUUUUUCUCCAGAUUCUCCCAUUUUGCCAGUAGGACAUUGUGGUGUGAUGUUGGAAGGACAGACAGAGUUGGGUGUCCCUGGAAAUUCUGUUCGUGUGAUACGGUCUCUUACAGCAUGUGCCAGUUUUUCUGAGUGUGCUCUUCCUUUCUCCCUCCAUCUUCCUAGUCUACUUGAUGAAUUGUGCUUCUUAGCUUAUAUAUGUACCUCUGUGUCUGUAGAAGCAAAAUAAAUACAUAACAACAUUUCAGGUGUCUGGGGAAAGAGUUGUAAUGUGACUGCCUCAUGUGCAAAAAAAAUAGCAUAGAAAAUGCAGCUCUCCUCAUAUGACAUAUACUGCUGCUCACCUCUUUGUCUUCCGUGAGCCAGUGUGCAGGAACUUUGAGGUAGAUGUCUGCUCCCUCAAGGAGAUUCUGACCCAGUCAUCCCAGAUGAAUGAUGGAUGCCACCGGGCAAGAAGAGUCUGCUUUGGGAGGCCUGGAGGUGCUGGGGUAAACACUAACCUAGAAUGUUGGGUACCUUUCUGAAUAUGAAGACGUCUUCCUUGCUCAGAAUUUAGGGACUGCCUCUGUCUCUCUCUGUCUCUCUCUGGUGUUCUCUCUUCUAUCAGUUUUUAAAUUGGGGUUUUUCUCCCCCCUUUUUUUGUAUCUAAUUCAUAUUGCGAAGUGUUGGUUUGGAAAUAAGGUGUUAAAUUUUUCACCCAUCUUAUUAGGCAGUAUGUUAAGAAAAAUAAAAUUGAAUCAUUUUGCAUUAAAGCUUCAGAAAAAUCCCUCCAAAUAAUCAGUGUUCGAAUGUUGAUUAAUAUACAGUAAAGCCUGAUUUUUCUAUAAGGGUACCAAGGUGUUACUGAUAAAUUGGUGUUUCUGGCUAACAGUAGAUUAGCCAGAAAUAUUUUCUGACUUUUCCUUCUUGAAUAUAUAUUUUAAAUGUGCUGGUCCCCUUUGCUACCCUAGAAAGAACAUUGAGAAUGUAAUCGAAUCUUUCUUUGCACUUUGAGGAUCUUCUGGUGCCACAGGGUCACUGUUCUGAGGAUAAAUUCUGAUUGUACGUUAUAGAGCUAUAAACGGAGACAGCGUCAGAGAUUGGGCUAAAUCUGUCCUGAUCCCAGCUUGGAAAUUGUUUUCUUCUUUUGUUAAAUCCUCCAUAUUAGUAUGUUUUGUUAUUGGCGCCCUUGUGCUGUUAAGUUGCAAGCAGCGAAAUAGAAAUUCACUUCAAUUACUUGGUUCUGGUUAAUUGAGGUUUUUACUUGAUAGGAAAAUUUCAACCAGAGUCUAGAGCCUUAAUUCUUUCUCUUGAGUUAUAGAGGAUGUAGAAUUAUUCUCAGAUAUUCAGGCUGUUGUAUUUACAAGGAAGUUAUGUACUAUAGUGCCAUCGCGUUGUGUGACUUCUCCCCUGUGUAGCGGUAGAGAGGAAUGCCAGCUGAUUUUGCCUCUUCCUUAGAUACGUUGAAGUGGUGUCUUUGGUCUAGGACUUGUAAAUUGAGAAAGUUAGGAACCUCAAGAAGUAGAAGGAAGAGUUUCAAGAAUAUCAAUAGUGAACAUCUAGAUUCCCCCAAAGGAAGCUCUCUCUCCAAGCUUAGGCCUUGUUCACCAGACCAGUAUGGAGAGCAUUCUGGAAUCACAGCAUCCGUCGGAGGCUGACUUUCUCAGGGCCGUCCUACUUGACUUAAUGAUAGUCUGCAGCUAUCUUUGAUGUCGUAGUGUUGGAAAUUCAGCUUGGGAGUCUUGGCGUUCUUUUGUAUCAGCCCAAUUAUUUUUUAUUUUUUUUGCUUUUGGAGUAAAGACAUCAAGGAGAUUGUCUAAAGAACUCCUUCCAUGCGGGGAAUGGGGCGUGAUGAGGAAUACAUAUACGGCAGCUCGUGGUUUAGGCAGGCUUGCUUUUUGCUGUGGCUUUUACAUGCUAAUGUUAAAAGGAAUUCCAGGUAACAAUUCCCUUGUGUUGGUGGAAGGACAGUUUUUUUCCUAACAGACAUUUAUGGCCCCAGCUGACACGUCAUUAUUACAGAUUGUCUUAUCACAUUACAUGCUGGGGCACGUUGACAGUGGCGUGGCUCUGUGGUUUCCUGGUGACUGUCUCGUCCACAGAUCUGAGGCCCUGGAGGCCGGCUGGGGAGCCCUCUGCAGUGCCCACUGCCAGCUAAGAGGACAGGUUUCCCACGCUCUUGAAGGUGCUGGAGGACUCCAGGCUGUCCCAGGUAGUUUCUCUCCUAGGGCUCUUUUCCCUGAAGCUCAGUCAGAGGCUGGAAAAGAGUAGAAACAAUUAGAGUGCAGAGGAUUUAUAAUCUCCUAGCCUCGAAUCAUCUCCAGCAAUGUUACCGAGCAUUUGAGUUUGAUUAUGAACUUUAAGAAAGUGUGUGGAAGCAAUUAGGAAGUUCCUAAUCCGUGAACCGACCGUGAUAGACAGAAACUCUUCUGGGGUACAAGGAAGGGUACCACUUAGUACAGGAUCCUCAAGCCUGUGAAAGAGGCAGCGCACUGUUAAAAAUACCUAGCUUACUUCGGGGGAGGAUUUGGCUGAAUACUGAUGAAGUUUAUGAAAUAUGAAUGUAGUGAAGUUGCUGUACGUAAGUGGUAGGCGUGUGUGAAAGAAGUAAGAAGAAAUAAAAUUGUGGAUAAAUGACAGUCUGAAACUUGAUGGAAUUGUAUACGUGACAAGAAUGGUGACGUUUGGGUCUGUGCUUAAUGGGGGAAAAUAAACUGGCUUAAAUUCUAUAUGUCAAGCUAGAUGUGGGACUAAAAAUUACAGAAUAUAAAAUCAUUUGACUUAUUUUAUAAGCAAAGAAUGCUACCGAGGAGAAGCAGGCAGGUUGCAAAGAAUCGAGGUGAAACAGAGUGGGGGAGAAAAAUGAGGGACCAGCACUUGAAUGUAUGAUGAGGUAUGGUAAUCACUGUUUUAAAUAAUCCAGACUAUUAACUACUGUGCUGCUAGAUAGAGAAUUCGUUAUAGCCAAACAAAAGGCAUAAAUAUGAAUUUUAGGUUGUGUGGGAGAAAUCUUCUUGAUCCCCAAAGCAUAAAUGCAUGUACUCAGAAGCAAAGCUGCACACGAAGUAAUUUUUUCUGUCUUAUCCUGAUUAAUUGACAGCCAACUGUAUGCCUCUUUCCUGAAGGUGACUUUACAAUCUCCAGACACAGACAUUUCUCUCAGAAGUGGAGUGAAGGAAGGAGAACCACAAGCUAAAGUGUGUUUCGCUGGGUGAAGUAUUUUGGGGGAAAGAUAAGACUGGUGAAAUAGGGGAAUGGAGUCGUGCCUACAGAGAUUAAGAAUGCCUGUUUGGGGCUGGGGAGUGGGGGCUGUGAAUGAAGGAAGGGAAUCUCUAGAGGGAGAGUCUUCUGUGCAAAAGAAAAUGAAAUUAGCAUUGACUCUGAAGUGGCUGGGAAUGCGACUUUCUAAUUUUAAAUUAUCUUUAACAAGGGCAAUGAAAAGAGGAAAAGUUGACACUUUGAGAAGUUAUGAUGAACUUGUCGAGAAUGCCAGUUGACAAAGGCAGUUUUAAAGAAACCUGAAGAAAUGGACAAAGACGGAGGAAAGAAACCGGAUGUGAUUCUGCACUUCCAGAAGCAAAGAGGCUUAUAUCAUCCUGUUUGAUCGAUGCCAGUCAUGGGGAGGAGUGGCUGUAUAGAAGUUAAUGGAAUUGCAACAUACAAAUCACAGAAGAAACAAGGGUAUAUUUAGCAAGUCUGAAAACUCUUCAAUAAACUGCAUUCCUUUUCAUUUUCACUGUACAGUUAUAAAACCAGCGGAGGGUCAUAGGCCACUGUAACGAUAAAGCAUGUGCUGCCAGGAACGUGUGUGUGACGAGCAUGUUAUAUCUGAAAGGACAGGGCAGCUGGGAGGGUGAACUGCCUGUAACUCUCAAUUGUCCAGGUAAUGAAGCAUUGGGAAAGCAAAGGCAAAUGAAAUACUUUGAUAAUCAAAAACGAUUCUUCUUUUAGUGAUCAUAUUAGUCGACUGAUGAUGAUAAAUGUGAAAUUGCCAGAGUUGUAUUUUACCGUUUCUGGCACGCAUGACCCACUUUGGAGGAGCAAUUUCUGUAGACCAGACUGUUAACCCAGAAGAUGUAGAACUUCACAGAGUGAAGGAUGACGGUUGAAGAUUAGUGAGGUUCUAGACUUUCUCAAGGCCCCACAGAGAAUCAGUAGGAGAACUGAUGCUACACAGAAAGGGUUCUAGAAAGUUCUAAAGCUCGCUUUCUAACCUUGAGCUACUAUGUGGUGCUCGCUCAUCAUGCUGCCACUGGUCAUGUUUUAUUAGACUAAAGCCUGUUAGAGCCAAAAGGGAUGUGAUAAAUCAUCUAGUCUAGCCACCCCUGUCACCCUCCAUGCGCCCCCUGCCAUUUAAACUAAUGUUCAUGGACAUCUAAGAAUGUGUGUGAGGUCCCAUUCCUAAUAAGUAGCAAGGCUGUGACAAGAACACAGGUCUUCUACUUCCUUACCUAAUAUUCUUUCCACUUAUAUGCUGUGCCACGAUGCUUGGAAGUUCCAGUAAGGUACAAAAUCAAGUUCCUGUCCCCCAGGAAAACAUGAGGAUCUUACCAUGUGUACACAAGUUAAUCCAGCGUUAGGUAGUAGAUAUGUCUGAAAGUAAGCACGAGUUAUUUUGGCUCUGCGUCAAUAGUGGAACAUAUUGUAUCAGUAACUGUUACUUUUUAAAAUCCCACUGGGCUUUUUUAUUAUUAAUUAAAAGUUAGCCAGUGAGCUUGUCUGUGUCAGUAAAGCCAUCCUAAAGCAUAGUGAAAAUAGCGUCUGUGUCUCGUGCUCUGGUUUAGUAGAAAUGAAAAUACGGGAUGUGGAGUCGAACAUUUGUACUCAUGCUUUGGGGAUGAUGGGUGGAGCUGGAGCAGCCAGGGGGCGCAGUGGGGGAGGAUGUGUCUCAGCUGCAGUUUUCUUUCCUCCAGGCAGAGAUUAAGGCUGUGUCCUUUACAGAGAUGCUCAAGAGCAAGUCUGCGAAUGGAAUACAAUGUAGCCAGUAAAAAUCAUGUUGCAGUAGAAAAAUAUAUUUCUUGAUGGGGAAAAUGUUCGUGAUCUAUUGCUUAGUGAAAAGUAAUAGCUUCCACAGUAGUGAGUGCAGAGUGGCAUCAUUCUUGUAAAAACUAUUGUAUGUGUGUGUGUGUCUGUGUGUAUUAACAUCGGCCCACAUAUACCUAAAUGAUGAAAUGAUAAAGUGGUCAUCUCUGGAUAGUGAGAUUAUUUGAGUUUCUUUUUUCUUUGUGCUCUUCUGUAUUUUCCGAGUUUCCUGCAUUAUGCGUGUAUUAAUUUUGUAACUCGAAAAAAAUAAAUCUUAUUUUUUGUUUUCAAAA